UACGUAGGGUGCGAGCGUUGUCCGGAUUUAUUGGGCGUAAAGAGCUUGUAGGCGGCUCGUCACGUCGGGUGUGAAAACUCGCGGCUCAACCGCGAGCCUGCACCCGAUACGGGCGGGCUAGAGUCCGGAAGAGGAGAGUGGAAUUCCUGGUGUAGCGGUGAAAUGCGCAGAUAUCAGGAAGAACACCCGUGGCUAAGGCGGCUCUCUAGUAACGGUACUGACGCUGAGACGCGAAAAGCGUGGGGAGCGAACAGG
Molecule: ribosomal RNA, 255 nt
Filed under: uncultured bacterium
Lineage: Bacteria
Description: partial 16S ribosomal RNA
Rfam family: Bacterial small subunit ribosomal RNA
Source: RNAcentral